This 252-nucleotide ribosomal RNA is filed under the name uncultured bacterium. RNAcentral's name for it is "partial 16S ribosomal RNA". It matches the Rfam family "Bacterial small subunit ribosomal RNA", at positions 524 to 776 of the family's 1533-position model. The record is from RNAcentral.
UACAGAGGUGCGAGCGUUAAUCGGAAUUACUGGGCGUAAAGCGCACGUAGGCGGAUCAGCAAGUUAGGGGUGAAAUCCCGGGGCUCAACCCCGGAACUGCCUCUAAAACUGUUGAUCUCGAGUUCGGGAGAGGUGAGUGGAAUUCCGAGUGUAGAGGUGAAAUUCGUAGAUAUUCGGAGGAACACCAGUGGCGAAGGCGGCUCACUGGCCCGAAACUGACGCUGAGGUGCGGAAGCGUGGGGAGCAAACAGG